This 482-nucleotide ribosomal RNA is filed under the name uncultured bacterium. Its description in RNAcentral is "partial 16S ribosomal RNA". It matches the Rfam family "Bacterial small subunit ribosomal RNA", at positions 30 to 507 of the family's 1533-position model. The record is from RNAcentral.
AUUGAACGCUGGCGGCAUGCCUUACACAUGCAAGUCGAACGGUAACGGGCCUUCGGGUGCCGACGAGUGGCGCACGGGUGAGUAAUACAUCGGAACGUGCCCGAUCGUGGGGGAUAACGAGGCGAAAGCUUUGCUAAUACCGCAUACGAUCUACGGAUGAAAGCAGGGGACCGCAAGGCCUUGCGCGGACGGAGCGGCCGAUGGCAGAUUAGGUAGUUGGUGGGAUAAAAGCUUACCAAGCCGACGAUCUGUAGCUGGUCUGAGAGGAUGAUCAGCCACACUGGGACUGAGACACGGCCCAGACUCCUACGGGAGGCAGCAGUGGGGAAUUUUGGACAAUGGGCGCAAGCCUGAUCCAGCCAUGCCGCGUGCAGGAUGAAGGCCUUCGGGUUGUAAACUGCUUUUGUACGGAACGAAAAGCCUUCUUUUAAUACAGGAGGGUCAUGACGGUACCGUAAGAAUAGGCACCGGCUAACUACGUG